GAUGAACGCUAGCGACAGGCCUAACACAUGCAAGUCGAGGGGCAGCAUAAAGGUAGCAAUACUUUGGUGGCGACCGGCGCACGGGUGAGUAACACGUAUGCAACCUGCCUGUAAGAGGGGAAUAACCCGGAGAAAUCCGGACUAAUACCGCAUAAUACUGUGAAACUGCAUGGUUUUACAGUUAAACAUUUAUGGCUUACAGAUGGGCAUGCGUAUGAUUAGCUAGUUGGUGAGGUAACGGCUCACCAAGGCAACGAUCAUUAGGGGUUCUGAGAGGAAGGUCCCCCACACUGGUACUGAGACACGGACCAGACUCCUACGGGAGGCAGCAGUGAGGAAUAUUGGUCAAUGGGCGAGAGCCUGAACCAGCCAAGUCGCGUGAAGGAAGAAGGUUCUAUGGAUUGUAAACUUCUUUUGUAAGGGAAUAAAAGUAGUACGUGUACUAUAUUGUAUGUACUUUACGAAUAAGGAUCGGCUAACUCCGUGCCAGCAGCCGCGGUAAA
RNAcentral lists this ribosomal RNA (503 nucleotides) under uncultured bacterium. RNAcentral describes it as "bacterial SSU rRNA". It matches the Rfam family "Bacterial small subunit ribosomal RNA", at positions 28 to 524 of the family's 1533-position model. The record is from RNAcentral.